AGCCAAAGCCUCGUCCCGCCGCCCCUAAAGUCGCCGCCGCCAAGCGCUCCCCCGCCAGCAAGGUCCCCCGCAGCAACAAGGAACAGCUCCGGAAGAAGGCCAUCGCUAAGAAGCUCGCCGCCACCCCCGCCAAGUGAUCCCCCCCACUACUCCCCCCUUCGUCCCUCCCUCGACCCCAUGGGGGGUUGGGCUGCAAAUAAACCUCUUAUACGUU
This is a long non-coding RNA of Hyalella azteca, 214 nucleotides long. RefSeq lists it as uncharacterized. The transcript is spliced from 2 exons. Lineage: Eukaryota; Metazoa; Arthropoda; Malacostraca; Amphipoda; Hyalellidae. The record is from RefSeq and is a predicted model, not a curated record.